UAACACAUGCAAGUCGAGGGGCAGCAUGGUCUUAGCUUGCUAAGGCCGAUGGCGACCGGCGCACGGGUGAGUAACACGUAUCCAACCUGCCGUCUACUCUUGGACAGCCUUCUGAAAGGAAGAUUAAUACAAGAUGGCAUCAUGAGUCCGCAUGUUCACAUGAUUAAAGGUAUUCCGGUAGACGAUGGGGAUGCGUUCCAUUAGAUAGUAGGCGGGGUAACGGCCCACCCAGUCUUCGAUGGAUAGGGGUUCUGAGAGGAAGGUCCCCCACAUUGGAACUGAGACACGGUCCAAACUCCUACGGGAGGCAGCAGUGAGGAAUAUUGGUCAAUGGGCGAGAGCCUGAACCAGCCAAGUAGCGUGAAGGAUGACUGCCCUAUGGGUUGUAAACUUCUUUUAUAAAGGAAUAAAGUCGGGUAUGCAUACCCGUUUGCAUGUACUUUAUGAAUAAGGAUCGGCUAACUCCGUGCCAGCAGCCGCGGUAAUACGGAGGAUCCGAGCGUUAUCCGGAUUUAUUGGGUUUAAAGGGAGCGUAGAUGGAUGUUUAAGUCAGUUGUGAAAGUUUGCGGCUCAACCGGUAAAAUUGCAGUUGAUACUGGAUAUCUUGAGUGCAGUUGAGGCAGGCGGAAUUCGUGGUGUAGCGGUGAAAUGCUUAGAUAUCACGAAGAACUCCGAUUGCGAAGGCAGCCUGCUAAGCUGCAACUGACAUUGAGGCUCGAAAGUGUGGGUAUCAAACAGGAUUAGAUACCCUGGUAGUCCACACGGUAAACGAUGAAUACCCGCUGUUUGCGAUAUACAGCAAGCGGCCAAGCGAAAGCGUUAAGUAUUCCACCUGGGGAGUACGCCGGCAACGGUGAGACUCAAAGGAAUUGACGGGGGCCCGCACAAGCGGAGGAACAUGUGGUUUAAUUCGAUGAUACGCGAGGAACCUUACCCGGGCUUAAAUUGCAGAUGAAUUACGGUGAAAGCCGUAAGCCGCAAGGCAUCUGUGAAGGUGCUGCAUGGUUGUCGUCAGCUCGUGCCGUGAGGUGUCGGCUUAAGUGCCAUAACGAGCGCAACCCUUGUUGUCAGUUACUAACAGGUUCCGCUGAGGACUCUGACAAGACUGCCAUCGUAAGAUGUGAGGAAGGUGGGGAUGACGUCAAAUCAGCACGGCCCUUACGUCCGGGGCUACACACGUGUUACAAUGGGGGGUACAGAGGGCCGCUACCACGCGAGUGGAUGCCAAUCCCCAAAACCUGUCUCAGUUCGGACUGGAGUCUGCAACCCGACUCCACGAAGCUGGAUUCGCUAGUAAUCGCGCAUCAGCCACGGCGCGGUGAAUACGUUCCCGGGCCUUGUACACACCGCCCGUCAAGCCAUGGGAGCCGGGGGUACCUGAAGUACGUAACCGCAAGGAUCGUCCUAGGGUAAAACUGGUGACUGGGGCUAAGU
This 1434-nucleotide ribosomal RNA is filed under the name uncultured organism. Its description in RNAcentral is "SSU rRNA". It matches the Rfam family "Bacterial small subunit ribosomal RNA". The record is from RNAcentral.